AAACCCUAGUUCUCUAUGAACCUCUGAUCGCUUGGCUAGUACCGGGAACCAGAGGAGAGCUGUUCGUGUGGACGAGUAGAGGCACUGCUACAUUGAUUUAUUGUGAUCGAAAUCCUUUUCUGCACUGGUAACAAUUCCAUCACUGAUCAUGUCAAAUUCGUAUGAAGGUGGGAAAACACAAGAAGGGGGUUGAAUUGUGUUGGGUAUUUGUAUUGGCUGCAUUAUUGCUAAAACAAAUAUCCUUGUUUGUGUUGUUGGAACCAAUGUUCCAACAUAUGUGUAGGCAUCUCUGUAAGAUGUUGGAUACGAUGUUCCAACAUCCUGGCACAGUUUAGUGUGCUUGGUUCAUGCCUAUUUAUUAGCUGAACCGAUCUGCUUUGUGCCGAAGCCCAACUAAAGUAUUUAGCCCAAGUUGCUUCAGUAUAUAAGGGAGACUUCAAGACCUAAUUGAUCAUUUAAGCCGUCAUUCUGAAAAGUGUAGAUUUUUAGGGUUUUGAGUCUACAUGUGCUCUACUCUUGUAUCGUUUGUGAUGCAAGUUUAGGACCUUUAUAGUGAGCCUUUCUUGCAUCAUUUGUGAUACAUAUUUAGGACUGUGUGUUGAGUUUGAUACUCUUGUGUACUACACUGAAGUUGUGAAACCAGGUGCUAGUUGUUUUGUUUGAAGAAAACUUCACCGUUUUGUUUGUGUUUGAGGUCUGAUAGGUCACAGGGGUUGUGACUGACCAUAGGAUAGUGAGAUGGGAUCUCAGAUCUAGGAGUUCCUAGGUUGAAGUCUAUACGGGUAGGUUUUAGGUCUUUAAUGUAAAUGAGGAGUUUGCUGAGAGCUAUAGAAUAAGGACUACACUAGUGAAUUUCCUUCCUGGCUUUGUAGCCCCCAAAGUAGGUGUGUUUGUCACCGAACUAGGUCAACAAACUCACUGUAUUCUUUAAUUUCUUGUCAUUUAUUUUCUUGUUUUUAUUUCUGUUUAUUUUGUGAUGUUGGAACAUUGAACGGAACAUUCCAAACGGUAAAACAUCUUACAAAACAUAUUAAAACAAGUGCGUUAGAAUUUCAAUUGGCAUCAGAGCAGACAUCCUGCCUGUUUUAGGGUGAGCUCCAGGGUAGUUUCAGUGUUAUGGACAAGGAAGGAGGAUUUGUAAACAGACCCCCUAUGUUGGAUGUCUCAAAUUAUAACUACUGGAAAUCACGCAUGAGUGCUUUUCUCAAAUUCAUUGACAGCAAAACUGGAAGGUAGUUCUGAAAGGUUGGGAACAUCCUGCGACACUUGAUGCUGAUGGUAACAUGACAUAUGUUUUGAAACUAGAGGAAGAAUAGACUGGUGCUGAAGAUGAAAUGGCUCUUGGAAAUUUCAAAGCAUUGAAUGCUCUGUUCAAUAGUGUAGACAAUAACUUGUUCAAAUUGAUUACGCAAUGUACUAGGGUUAAGGAUGCUUGGGAGAUUCUCAAGACUGCACAUGAAGGUACUACUAAGAUCUCUACCUAAGAGGUUUGACAUGAAAGUUACUCCUAUUGAAGAGGCUCAAGAUAUCUCAAGUUUGAAGGUUGAUGAAUUGAUAGGGUCCUUGCAAAAUUCUGAAAUAACUGUCAACAACAAAACUGAUAAGAAGAGCAAGGGGAUUGCUUUUGCAUCUAGUGUAGAGCUUGAUGAGUCACAAGUUAUUGGAUAUUUGUAUUGGCUACAUUAUUGCUAAAACAAAUAUCCAUGUUUGUGAUGUUGGAUACUAUGUUCCAACAUGUUUUGGAUGAUGUGCUGGAUGAUGUCUCAACAUGUCCGUUUUGCAGUUGUGUUACUUUUCUUCAUGGUUGUGGAUUGAAGAAAUGUAUGUAUGAAAUCUCUACCUUGUCUGCAUGGCCUCAAUUUGUUUUAACAACAAAUAAAUCCAAAGGGCGAAAUUGUUGGAUAUUUCAGUAUUGGCUUCAUUGUUGCUAGAACAAAUAGUCAUGUAUGUUGGAUACGAUGUUCCAACAUCUUGGCACGGUUCAGUGUUCCCUGUUUAUGUGGCUUGGUUUACGCAAUCUUUAUCUUAUUAAGGAAACCACACCCUAUUUCUUGUUCACCAAGCAGCGCGUUUUUGUCCAUGAUCAGUUGGAAGAUUUGUUUCUAAAAUAUAAACAGUAUUUUAGGAUUCCUUGGUGGUGUGUUUGGCGGUUCCUAAAGAUGUUCCUACUUUUUAGGAGUUACCAUAUUUGUGAAAUAUAUUUUCAAAAGAGAUUUUGAAAAAUAUAUUUCUGAAGAAGAUUUGUUUCAAUAUAUUUCUAAAAAGAAUAUUUCAUUCAAAUAUAUGUGUAUCCAGAA
This is a long non-coding RNA of Medicago truncatula (barrel medic), 2297 nucleotides long. RefSeq lists it as uncharacterized. The record is from RefSeq and is a predicted model, not a curated record. Lineage: Eukaryota; Viridiplantae; Streptophyta; Magnoliopsida; Fabales; Fabaceae. The transcript is spliced from 3 exons.